AUGUGUCUUCUGAGCUGCAAAAGGUCGAUAGUUGAGCAUCUGAGUUGUAUCAAUGGUAUCCUUCCUGAAGGUCAUCAAUUUUAUGCUGAUGAAGUUGUUUACUACAUUGAGAUGGAGAGAAUUUUAAUUGGUGAUAUGCGUGACAGUGCUUCUGAUCUAGUUCAGAGCUCGGUUCUUCUGUUGAACAACAUGAAGCAUUUCAGAACUAUGCAAGACUCUCGCUACAAGCCAUAUGAAGAAAGUGCAAAUGUUGUUAUCAAGCAAAUUGAGCAGGAUGAGGCCGCUGCCACUGACAGCAGGGCUGGUGAUGGUACUGAGGCUAAUGUUUCUGAUCACGAAAUGAAUGAUGUUGGCUUGGAGCAUCCUGAUGUUGAUAUUGAGCAGGAUGAGGCUGCUGCCACCGAUGAUGGUACUGAGGCUAAUGUUUUUGAUCACCAUACGAAUGAUGUUUUCUUGGAGCACCCUGUUGUUGAUGAGACCAGUCAUAAUGUUGAGGCUGCUAUUGACCAUGGAGUUAAUGAUCGAUCUACUGAUAAGUGCAAGGGUCCUCUUGUUGGCGACGAGCCUUGUUUGCCCGUUGGUGAUGUUGCUUUGAAUGUUAGCAGCAGCAAGAUCGAUGAUGUUGCUGUGAAUGCUUCUAAGAUGAUGCUCGUGGUGUUCCAUUGA
RNAcentral lists this ribosomal RNA (666 nucleotides) under Triticum aestivum (bread wheat). RNAcentral describes it as "partial small subunit ribosomal RNA". Lineage: Eukaryota; Viridiplantae; Streptophyta; Magnoliopsida; Poales; Poaceae. The record is from RNAcentral.